GGAGUCUGGGCCGUGUCUCAGUCCCAAUGUGGCCGUCCGCCCUCUCAGGCCGGCUACUGAUCGUCGCUUUGGUGGGCCUUUACCCCGCCAACUGGCUAAUCAGAUGCGGAUCCAUUCCAUCCCGGAUCUCUCCUUUUCACACUGUGUGAUGCCACACCGUGCGCUUAUGCGGUAUUACCAGCCGUUUCCAGCUGCUAUCCCCCAGAUUGGACCAGGUUAUCCACACGUUACUCACCCGUCCGCCACUAAGCUGCAACAUGAUUCGCUUUGUACAAGUACUCCACUCCUCUGCGUUGCCGCUCCGUUCGACUUGCAUGUGUUAGGCACGCCGCCAGCGUUCAUC
Molecule: ribosomal RNA, 343 nt
Filed under: uncultured Butyrivibrio sp.
Lineage: Bacteria; Bacillati; Bacillota; Clostridia; Lachnospirales; Lachnospiraceae
Description: partial 16S ribosomal RNA
Source: RNAcentral